AAUCUGGCACCUGGUGCCCGAGUUGUAAUUUGCAGAGGAUGCUUUUGGCGAGGCGCCUUCCGAGUUCCCUGGAACGGGACGCCAUAGAGGGUGAGAGCCCCGUCUGGUUGGAUGCCGAGCCUCUGUAAAGCUCCUUCGACGAGUCGAGUAGUUUGGGAAUGCUGCUCUAAAUGGGAGGUAUAUGUCUUCUAAAGCUAAAUAUUGGCCAGAGACCGAUAGCGCACAAGUAGAGUGAUCGAAAGAUGAAAAGCACUUUGAAAAGAGGGUUAAAAAGUACGUGAAAUUGUUGAAAGGGAAGCGCUCAUGACCAGACUUGGGCCCGGUGAAUCAUCCAGCGUUCUCGCUGGUGCACUUUGCCGGGUCCAGGCCAGCAUCAGUUUGCCCCGGGGGAUAAAGGCUUCGGGAAUGUGGCUCCUCCGGGAGUGUUAUAGCCCGUUGCAUAAUAUCCUGGGGCGGACUGAGGUUCGCGCAUCUGCAUGGAUGCUGGCGUAAUGGUCAUCAGCGACCCGUCUUGAAACACGGACCAAGGAGUCGUCUUCGUAUGCGAGUGUUCGGGUGUCAAACCCCUACGCGUAAUGAAAGUGAACGCAGGUGAGAGCUUCGGCGCAUCAUCGACCGAUCCUGAUGUUCUCGGAUGGAUUUGAGUAAGAGCAUACG
This 657-nucleotide ribosomal RNA is filed under the name Parametarhizium hingganense. RNAcentral's name for it is "partial large subunit ribosomal RNA". It matches the Rfam family "Eukaryotic large subunit ribosomal RNA", at positions 119 to 806 of the family's 3401-position model. The record is from RNAcentral. Lineage: Eukaryota; Fungi; Ascomycota; Sordariomycetes; Hypocreales; Clavicipitaceae.